Long non-coding RNA from Haliotis rubra (blacklip abalone), 222 nucleotides. RefSeq lists it as uncharacterized. Lineage: Eukaryota; Metazoa; Mollusca; Gastropoda; Lepetellida; Haliotidae. The transcript is spliced from 2 exons. The record is from RefSeq and is a predicted model, not a curated record.
CGUAUCCUGCCCCACCGGUGGCACCCGUCAUAAAACAUAAGCAAAUAUAGUUAAUUGUUCACCUGAAAUAUGCAUGUAAAGUGCGUAUGUAAAGGUGUAAAGAUGUGAACGCAUGUCACUAUGUGUUGAGCAGUUAGAUAGAGACGUAUUUUGUUGUUUGGAUGUCUUCAUCAUAAUAAUAUGGUGAAGUAAUCAUCGUGAAGAAAUAAAGAGUAAUCCCUU